CCCCGGCUCGGAGGGAAGGCGCCGCUCCGGAGCUGCGCAUGAGCGGGGCGGCACGGAGGGAAGGCGCCGCGCCGGGCACGUGACUCGGUGCGGCCGAGAGUCCGACGUGGCGGCCGGCGCCGUUCUUGGGUCCCCCGCCUUGCGCGAGCCUGUCAGUCUGGCCGUCCUCCAGGGGUGACCUAAUCGGACUCGGCGUGGGCCUUUGAGUCGCCCCAGCGAACUUGUCGUGCUCCUGCGGACAGGCCCAGACAGUUCACGGAUAGGGCGGCUCCAGCCGAGCUUUCGCAGCUACACUCUAGGCGCUGAGCUUCAGAAAACGAACGAGCGAACAAAAAGACAUGCUCCCACGGAACUAAGAAGCUAGUGAUGGACACAGACCAAGAGAAGCAAAAUUGAGAGAAUGCUGGGCGGGAAAGAAGUAGAAAACCACAGAACAUAACGGGACAGGGACUGGCCUGGUGACUUUUCCUUCCUUUGGUUUUGGAAUAGGAAAGCGCCACCCUCAUAGACUCCUGGAGGACUGGGGAUCCGUUUAACCCUUUAUAUACCAGGUCUCUAGCCGUUAUCCGCCACGGAGUUGACUCCUUAGUACAUACUUGCUAAAAUGAGUCUGCAUAAAUUAAACAGGCCAACCUGAUUCUUUCACGUGGAUUUGAAAGUACUUUCCACUGUGUUACCUAACUGGACCACCACAAAUGCCAUCUUCGAAGAGCCUUGUUUCUUUGUUUGAGAUACAUUCUAGCUAUGUAGUCCAGGUUAGCCUCAAACCUUCGAUUCCCCUCAAUGUCCAAUCACUGAGAUUACAUGUAUGUACUACACCAUGCCUGUUUUAGAAAGUAUGCCUUACACUAAUUUUUUUCAAUAAAGAAUUUUCUGUGUCUUUGAGAAGGCUCUUGAAGCCCAUUGAAGUUAUUUUCUAAGACACAUAAAAUCCAAAAAAAAAAAAAAAAAGGUUAUGUUACUGUUAGCAUUAAGACCUUUAGGCACUCAUUUUCCAAAGGAAUCCUAGGUCCACUUUUUAUGAGGCAGACAGUAUUACAGGAGUAAUUUUAAGAAAAGUAGAUGAGCAUGGAACACUGGUUUCUGACAGUCCCGGUAUACAAACUUAGCCCCAACAACGAUGCAAUUCUAGCUGCAUAUCCCGUUGUUACUCUUGAUUCCUGCUUCUAGGCUGGGACGACUUUCACAAAACAAGAGUUUCUAUAUUAUCAGGUUGGAGCCAUUAGUUCUCCACCCAUAAGAUACAUGUUGAAGUGGGUAUACUAUAAAGUCCUUUCCAAUAUCCGGGACCUAUAACUCUGUGAUCACAAACUGCAGGAAAGGCAGUGGCCUGUCAGGGUGGUCCUUCCAGGCGCCUUCUUUUAACAGAAUAUUGGUCUAGAGAGGUGACUGAGCAGUUAAGGGUACUCGAUGCUCUUGCAGGGGACUCGGGUUGGAUUGCCAGUACCCUGUGGUGGUUCACAACCCUCUGUAAGUCAAGUUCCAGGGGAUCCCUCCGCCCUGUGCUGAGCGCUUCAGGGGCCAGACAGAAGCUAGUUAUCUGGGAAGAGGAAGCACGGUUAAGAAAAUGCCUCCGUCCACAUUGUCUGUAGGCAAUGUGUGGUGUGUUUUCUUGGUUAACCGGUGACGUGGCUGGGCAGGUGGUCCUGAGUUGCAUAAGAAAGCAGAUGGUGCAAGCCUUGCAGAGAAGCCAGUGAGUAGCAUUGCUCCAUGGUCUCCGCUUAAGUUUUGCCUCUGGGUUCCUGCCUUGAGUUCCUGCCCUGACUUCCCUCAGUGAUGGACAGUUAUAUGGAAGCUUAAGACGAAAUAAACCCUUUCCUCCUCAAAUUGUUUUUGGUCAUGGUGUUUUAUCACAGCAAUAGAAACCUAAGACAAUCUUUAAAAAAAUGUGCAAUGAAGUUUGCAUUCUGAUUAAAAUUGAAAGUCUAACUUUUGAUAUGGCCCCAAACAUAUUUUCAUCCUAUACUAUGUAUUUAUGAAAACUGGCAUUAUUGAUUAUAAAACCAAAUGCAGCCAACAGUGAAGAAUGUUGAAGAUGUAGUCUGGGAAGAGAGCUUAGCUGGCAAAGCGCUUACUGUGCAUGCAGAAGGGUCUGAGGCAAUACUCAGAACUCGUGCUAAAAAGUUGGGCAUGGAGCCGGGCGGUCGUGGCGCAAGCCUUUAAUCCCAGCACUCAGGAGGCAGAGGCAGGUGGAUCUCUGAGUUCAAGACCAGCCUAGUCUACAGAGAGAGUUCCAGGACAGUCAGGGCUAAGUAGAGAAACCCUAUCUCUAAAAAACAAUAAUAAUUUAAUAAUAAUAAUAAUAAUAACAAAUACAUGCUACCAUGCCCUACUUUUUCUGCAGAGAUUGGCAGAUCCCUAGGAUGCUUGGCCAACCAGCCUAGCUACCUGUCCUGGCUUCCAGCACCGGCCUUGUCCCACUGGCAUCAGCCUACAUGAACUCUGACACCUGGGGUUUCUUCACUGUGCGGGACUUUGGUUGAUAAAACAGCGGCUUCUUCCAUGCUGCCUCUACUGCCCAGAACUGUCUUUUACAGUAAGAGUGUGUCAGGUUAGGUUCUCUAGAGAGUUUUCUCUCCAGGUAGGAACUCAGCUACUCAGAGUUAUUUUCCUAAUAUAGUUGAACCACUAGAGGGGAGCAGUGACAUUCCCCGUUGCGCCUUGAUCUUAGGAUAGUAGGGUCAGAUGGGCUUUAGGGACCCUGGGCAAACUUCUCCCAUCUGAUAAACUAAGGAACAGAGUGGAAGCAGGAAAGGAAAGCUUUUCCUAUGGCUACAGAGUAGUCAGUUACAAAACCAAGACACACAAUUGGAUGGUAGCUCAGCCACCUGCCUUAGAGAAGCAGAGGGGAGGCUUAAUUGUGAAAAACAAGUGAAUGACAUUUAAAUAAAAAUAAAAACAGGAAGGAGACAGACUCCAGCAAGCACAAAUAAAUGUCUCUAAAGAAACUGGCCAGAGAGAGAGCAUUGGCUCUUGCCCCCCACACCCCUGGGAUUCCACAUGUAGCACACUCAUCCAGCCUCCGCGUCUCGGAGGGGGUCCAACAGGUUAUAUGGAUACGGCUCACAUGUCACAAAGCCAAUUAACUCAUCCCAAAGUCCCUGGCUGCCAAUGUUUAUAUCUAAGUGUAUUUAAUGGUUUAUACAUGAGCACGUGUCGGUGGAGAGAGGAGAGGUAUGUGGUAAUGGAGGUUUUGCUGAGCCUCUCAACUCUUCUGGAAAACAAGAUGUAGCAGCCUGUGAUGGCCAUUGCCUUUUUUCAUUGGUGUUAACUUCCUGUCACCCCUUUGCCAGUAUCUACCCCCUCCCUACCACUCACCAGCAUGGGCCGGUGGUAAUGCUGGCUAACCAUAGCUCCCCCAUUCCUCCCUGACAGAGCCAUGGUUUAGGGGAGGGUGUGAACUUCAGGUGGGCCAAUGAUCGGCCUCUUUAGAGUCUUUGAACUCCUAAUCCUCCUGCUUCCAUCUCCCAAGUGCUAAGAUUACAGGUGUGUGCCAGCAUGCUCAGCUGAGAAGUCUUGCUUAAAGGGUAUACAAGAGAGCUCUGAAGAGACCCAGAGAGAUGAUCCAGGCAGAGGACAGACCCCACGCUCCAUUCCGUCUACCCUGGAGCCUGGAGUACCUCCCGAAUUCUCCUCGUUGCCCUGAGUUAUGCCGCCUAAUAACAAGUCCCCUUUUUUUCCUUCAGAUAUAAUUUGACCUGGAUGUUUGUCAGUCACAAUGAAGAAUUCUGUCAUAAUUCUAUAGACUGUUGUGGGAACACCAGACCUUGAGCAGAGACCCACUUCCCCUUCUGCCUGGGAGUAGGCAGCUGUAAGACAAUGUUUACUAAAAACAAUACAAUGCCUGGGGGCAUUAAGUUCCUGGAAAAG
Molecule: long non-coding RNA, 3870 nt
Organism: Mesocricetus auratus (golden hamster)
Lineage: Eukaryota; Metazoa; Chordata; Mammalia; Rodentia; Cricetidae
Exons: 5
Source: RefSeq, a predicted model, not a curated record